RNAcentral lists this ribosomal RNA (253 nucleotides) under uncultured bacterium. RNAcentral's name for it is "partial 16S ribosomal RNA". It matches the Rfam family "Bacterial small subunit ribosomal RNA", at positions 524 to 776 of the family's 1533-position model. The record is from RNAcentral.
UACGAAGGGGGCUAGCGUUGCUCGGAAUCACUGGGCGUAAAGCGCACGUAGGCGGAUUUUUAAGUCAGGGGUGAAAUCCUGGAGCUCAACUCCAGAACUGCCUUUGAUACUGGGAAUCUCGAGUCCGGGAGAGGUGAGUGGAACUGCGAGUGUAGAGGUGAAAUUCGUAGAUAUUCGCAAGAACACCAGUGGCGAAGGCGGCUCACUGGCCCGGUACUGACGCUGAGGUGCGAAAGCGUGGGGAGCGAACAGG